RNAcentral lists this ribosomal RNA (2716 nucleotides) under Xanthomonas hortorum ATCC 19865. RNAcentral's name for it is "bacterial LSU rRNA". It matches the Rfam family "Bacterial large subunit ribosomal RNA". Lineage: Bacteria; Pseudomonadati; Pseudomonadota; Gammaproteobacteria; Lysobacterales; Lysobacteraceae. The record is from RNAcentral.
UCCGAAUGGGGAAACCCACUGCUUCGGCAGUAUCCUGCAGUGAAUUCAUAGCUGCUGGAAGCGAACCCGGUGAACUGAAAUAUCUAAGUAACCGGAGGAAAAGAAAUCAACCGAGAUUCCCUAAGUAGUGACGAGCGAACGGGGAGCAGCCCUUAAGCUGGAAUGGCUUUAGAAAAACAAUCUGGAAAGAUUGGCCAUAGAAGGUGAUAGCCCUGUAUUUAAAAGGGCCACUCCAGUGAAGACGAGUAGGGCGGGGCACGUGAAACCCUGUCUGAAUAUGGGGGGACCAUCCUCCAAGGCUAAAUACUCCUGACCGACCGAUAGUGAACCAGUACCGUGAGGGAAAGGCGAAAAGAACCCCGGAGAGGGGAGUGAAAUAGAUCCUGAAACCGUGUGCGUACAAGCAGUAGGAGCUCGCAAGAGUGACUGCGUACCUUUUGUAUAAUGGGUCAGCGACUUACUGUUCGUGGCAAGCUUAACCGUAUAGGGGAGGCGAAGGGAAACCGAGUCUGAUAAGGGCGCAUAGUCGCGGGCAGUAGACCCGAAACCGGGUGAUCUAGUCAUGGCCAGGGUGAAGGUGCCGUAACAGGUACUGGAGGCCCGAACCCACGUCUGUUGCAAAAGACGGGGAUGAGCUGUGAUUAGGAGUGAAAAGCUAAUCGAACCCGGAGAUAGCUGGUUCUCCUCGAAAGCUAUUUAGGUAGCGCCUCGGACGAAUACUACUGGGGGUAGAGCACUGUUAUGGCUAGGGGGUCAUCGCGACUUACCAAACCAUUGCAAACUCCGAAUACCAGUACGUACUAUCCGGGAGACACACGGCGGGUGCUAACGUCCGUCGUGAAAAGGGAAACAACCCAGACCCACAGCUAAGGUCCCAAAUUCACUGCUAAGUGGAAAACGAUGUGGAAAGGCAUAGACAGCCAGGAGGUUGGCUUAGAAGCAGCCACCCUUUAAAGAAAGCGUAAUAGCUCACUGGUCGAGUCGGUCUGCGCGGAAGAUUUAACGGGGCUAAGCAGUGAACCGAAGCUUGGGGUGCGUAAAACUUCGGUUUUAUGCGCGGUAGAGGAGCGUUCCGUAAGCCUGCGAAGGUGGAUUGAGAAGUCCGCUGGAGGUAUCGGAAGUGCGAAUGCUGACAUGAGUAACGAUAAUGCGGGUGAAAAGCCCGCACGCCGAAAGCCCAAGGUUUCCUUGCGCAACGUUAAUCGACGCAGGGUUAGUCGGUCCCUAAGGCGAGGGCGAAAGCCGUAGUCGAUGGGAAGCAGGUUAAUAUUCCUGCACCUCGCGUGAGUGCGAUGGAGGGACGGAGAAGGUUAGGUGUACCGGGCGUUGGUUGUCCCGGGGAAAGGCGGUAGGUUUGGAUCUUUGGCAAAUCCGGGAUCCUUUAAGACCGAGCACCGAGACGAGCCUUUAUGGCGAAGUCACUGAUACCACGCUUCCAGGAAAAGCUCCUAAGCUUCAGCUCACGAAGACCGUACCGUAAACCGACACAGGUGGGUAGGAUGAGAAUUCUCAGGCGCUUGAGAGAACUCGGGUGAAGGAACUAGGCAACAUGGCACCGUAACUUCGGGAGAAGGUGCACCCUUUUUGGUGGCUCAUGCGAGCUAUAGCUGAAGAGGGUCGCAGAAACCAGGCCGCUGCGACUGUUUAUCAAAAACACAGCACUCUGCAAACACGAAAGUGGACGUAUAGGGUGUGACGCCUGCCCGGUGCUGGAAGGUUAAUUGAUGGGGUCAGCCGCAAGGCGAAGCUCUUGAUCGAAGCCCCAGUAAACGGCGGCCGUAACUAUAACGGUCCUAAGGUAGCGAAAUUCCUUGUCGGGUAAGUUCCGACCUGCACGAAUGGCGUAACGACAGCGGCGCUGUCUCCACCCGAGACUCAGUGAAAUUGAAAUCGCUGUGAAGAUGCAGCGUCCCCGUGGCAAGACGGAAAGACCCCGUGAACCUUUACUAUAGCUUUACACUGAACGUUGAGUUCGUCUGUGUAGGAUAGGUGGGAGGCUAUGAAACUGUGGCGCUAGCUGCAGUGGAGCCAUCCUUGAAAUACCACCCUGUCGUGCUUGACGUUCUAACCUAGAUCCGUUAUCCGGAUCAGGGACCGUGUAUGGUGGGUAGUUUGACUGGGGCGGUCUCCUCCUAAAGAGUAACGGAGGAGCACGAAGGUACGCUCAGCGCGGUCGGACAUCGCGCACUGUGUGCAAAGGCAUAAGCGUGCUUGACUGCAAGAUCGACGGAUCAAGCAGGUACGAAAGUAGGUCUUAGUGAUCCGGUGGUUCUGUAUGGAAGGGCCAUCGCUCAACGGAUAAAAGGUACUCCGGGGAUAACAGGCUGAUACCGCCCAAGAGUUCAUAUCGACGGCGGUGUUUGGCACCUCGAUGUCGGCUCAUCACAUCCUGGGGCUGUAGUCGGUCCCAAGGGUAUGGCUGUUCGCCAUUUAAAGUGGUACGCGAGCUGGGUUCAGAACGUCGUGAGACAGUUCGGUCCCUAUCUGCCAUGGGCGUUGGAAGUUUGAGAGGGGCUGCUCCUAGUACGAGAGGACCGGAGUGGACGAACCUCUGGUGUUCCGGUUGUCACGCCAGUGGCAUUGCCGGGUAGCUAUGUUCGGAAGCGAUAACCGCUGAAAGCAUCUAAGCGGGAAGCGCGCCUCAAGAUGAGACUUCCCGGGGCACAAGCCCCCUAAAGGAACCAUAUAGACUAUGUGGUUGAUAGGUCAGGUGUGU